RNAcentral lists this ribosomal RNA (376 nucleotides) under uncultured bacterium. Its description in RNAcentral is "bacterial SSU rRNA". It matches the Rfam family "Bacterial small subunit ribosomal RNA", at positions 524 to 898 of the family's 1533-position model. The record is from RNAcentral.
UACAGAGGGUGCAAGCGUUGUUCGGAAUUAUUGGGCGUAAAGCGCGUGUAGGCGGCUUGUUAAGUCGGGUGUGAAAGCCCUCAGCUCAACUGAGGAAGGGCGCCCGAAACUGGCGAGCUUGAGUGUCGGAGAGGAUGGCGGAAUACCCCAAGUAGAGGUGAAAUUCGUAGAUAUGGGGUGGAACACCGGUGGCGAAGGCGGCCAUCUGGACGACAACUGACGCUGAGACGCGAAAGCGUGGGGAGCAAACAGGAUUAGAUACCCUGGUAGUCCACGCCGUAAACGAUGAGAACUAGGUGUCGUGGGUGUUGACCCCUGCGGUGCCGUAGCUAACGCAUUAAGUUCUCCGCCUGGGAAGUACGGUCGCAAGACUAAA